CCAAUCUCUUCCUUUGCAUCUUGCUUAUAUGCCAAAGCAGUGAAUAUAGACUGCUGAUUCUUCCAUAAUCCCAACAUUUCAGCUUCCACCUUGUUCCAAAUUUUAGCACAUCUUACUGAAGUACUAAGCUCAUAAUCACCAAUUCAUUUCAAACCAUAUAACUCAUACUCAGCAUCCAAUGUAAUAUUACACGUCAUCUCACAAAACAAUAUCUUUAUAGAAACACAUAAUGGGUACCCAGCAGAUAUGCCAAUACAGAAAUCACAUUUAUGGGCACACAACUACACACUCUGUCUCCCUCCUAGGAAACAAGGAUAGACACAAUAUAAAAGCAAUCUUAAACUAACACCUCCAAAUCUCCAACUAUUCUUGGCCAAAACGCAAGUAUUCAACAACUAAUAAAAGUUAUUUGCUAGGUUAUUUGGCUGUC
Pelobates cultripes (western spadefoot toad) is the source of this 430-nucleotide non-coding RNA. NCBI's taxonomy places the organism in Eukaryota, Metazoa, Chordata, Amphibia, Anura, Pelobatidae. The record is from the annotation of a GenBank genome assembly.